Molecule: non-coding RNA, 86 nt
Organism: Pelobates cultripes (western spadefoot toad)
Lineage: Eukaryota; Metazoa; Chordata; Amphibia; Anura; Pelobatidae
Source: the annotation of a GenBank genome assembly
CAGGACCCCCUACCAGUCCAGGAUUUGGGGAUUACCUGGGUGUGUCUAAGGUAAUCCCUAAACCCUGGACUGGUAGGGGGUCCUUG